RNAcentral lists this ribosomal RNA (465 nucleotides) under uncultured Desulfobulbus sp. RNAcentral describes it as "bacterial SSU rRNA". It matches the Rfam family "Bacterial small subunit ribosomal RNA", at positions 922 to 1382 of the family's 1533-position model. Lineage: Bacteria; Pseudomonadati; Thermodesulfobacteriota; Desulfobulbia; Desulfobulbales; Desulfobulbaceae. The record is from RNAcentral.
GGCACAAGCGGUGGAGGUAUGUGGUUAAUUCGAUGCAACGCGAAGAACCUUACCUGGUCUUGACAUCCCGGAGACCCUUAGGAAACUAGGGGUGCUUCCAUCUGGAAGAAUCUGGAGACAGGUGCUGCAUGGCUGUCGUCAGCUCGUGUCGUGAGAUGUUGGGUUAAGUCCCGCAACGAGCGCAACCCUUGCCUUUAGUUGCCAGCAGUUCGGCUGGGCACUCUAAAGGGACUGCCGGUGUUAAACCGGAGGAAGGUGGGGAUGACGUCAAGUCCUCAUGGCCUUUAUGACCAGGGCUACACACGUACUACAAUGGCCGAUACAAAGGGCAGCGACACUGCGAGGUGAAGCCAAUCCCGUAAAAUCGGUCUCAGUCCGGAUUGGAGUCUGCAACUCGACUCCAUGAAGUUGGAAUCGCUAGUAAUCGUGGAUCAGCAUGCCACGGUGAAUACGUUCCCGGGCCUU